Molecule: long non-coding RNA, 211 nt
Filed under: Capsicum annuum
Lineage: Eukaryota; Viridiplantae; Streptophyta; Magnoliopsida; Solanales; Solanaceae
Description: long non-coding RNA (CANN_LNC005003)
Source: RNAcentral
AUGGGAAAUAUAUGUAAUUCCUCUUAUUUAUUUGAGGCGUCUGUGAAAUAUGGUGAGGCUCCAGUGUUCUCACCUGUUGAAGCAUUGAUCCCCAUGGUGGUGGGAGUACUCAUAAACUCAUCCUACGGAAUCAGAGGGAUCAUAUCUCAAACAAGGUCUGAACCGGCCCCUCUAGCUGGGGUGGAACUAGUAGAUACGCCAGCAGCUUCAU